Long non-coding RNA from Acyrthosiphon pisum (pea aphid), 909 nucleotides. RefSeq lists it as uncharacterized. The record is from RefSeq and is a predicted model, not a curated record. The transcript is spliced from 4 exons. Lineage: Eukaryota; Metazoa; Arthropoda; Insecta; Hemiptera; Aphididae.
ACAAGUAUACAUUAUAAAUAUUCCAAUUCAAGUUAUAAAAACAUUAAUAUUAAAGCGAAUACUAAAACUUAAAAGGUAAUAUAUUGCGGAACCAGUAUCUAAUUUUAAUAGCACGGAGCAUCUGAACAUAUUUAAAUUUCAAAGAACACAUAACAAGUUUGGAAAUUCAGUGUUCUGAAAAUUAGAUGUGAUUCAUUUUGGGACAUUGCUGUCAGCAAAAGAGGGUUUCCAAGUUCCAGAUUAAAUAGGAUAUCAAUGUAUAACAUGGACUACUCAAUUAUGUUUUCUUCAGUUCAUACAUAUAUUUUGUCAUUACCAGUUUCGGAUAGAUGAAAUUACACUACUGAAUAAUGAUUAAUUUUAAUAAUAUUUUAUCAUUUUUGAAAUGAAUUAUGAUUGCGAGGAAUGAAACAUUAAAUUAUUGCUAAGAUUGUAAGAAACAAACUACUAUUUAUAAAAAUACUAUAAAUUUAAAUUAAGUUAAGUUGUACCUUUGUAAACGUUUACAUUCAACUUUUGGCUUAAAACAAUCUUGUGUUCACUUAACUUAGCUUAUCUUGAGUUAAUUAUAUUAAUUAACAAUUGCAAAUCUUAGUGUUAACUCCGCCAUUGACGGUCCUCAGUCCGUAUGAAAAAGGAGGAAGGCGCUUUAGACAUUUUUCUUUUUCAGUUGAAGUAUUAAGGAUUAAUCAUGCUUCUCUUGGUUUUAAAGAUAUACCAUAGGUACUACCAUUGUCCAACUGUGAAGAAGUAGGUAGGUGGCCAAUUUUAAAAGUGCAGAUCUUUGAAGACCAGGAUGUGUAAAUGUGAAUUGGAAAGUGGCAACAUAUACCUAGUUCAGACUUCAGAAAUUUAGUUAGACAUGAUUUAUGGAAAUUGGAUUCAUUAAUUUUUGGACAUUCAAAGUAA